Molecule: ribosomal RNA, 371 nt
Filed under: uncultured bacterium
Lineage: Bacteria
Description: bacterial SSU rRNA
Rfam family: Bacterial small subunit ribosomal RNA
Source: RNAcentral
UACGUAGGGGGCGAGCGUUGUCCGGAUUUACUGGGCGUAAAGGGUGAGUAGGCGGUUGUAUAUGUCAGGUGUAAAAGGCUAUGGCUUAACCAUAGUUAGCACUUGAAACUGUACAACUUGAGUGCAGGAGAGGUAAGCGGAAUUCCUAGUGUAGCGGUGAAAUGCGUAGAUAUUAGGAGGAACACCAGUGGCGAAGGCGGCUUACUGGACUGUAACUGACGCUGAGUCACGAAAGCGUGGGUAGCAAACAGGAUUAGAUACCCUGGUAGUCCACGCUGUAAACGAUGAGUGCUAGGUGUUGGGUAGCGAUACUCAGUGCCGCAGUAAACACAAUAAGCACUCCGCCUGGGGAGUACGGUCGCAAGACUGAA